Non-coding RNA from Paramuricea clavata, 106 nucleotides. Lineage: Eukaryota; Metazoa; Cnidaria; Anthozoa; Malacalcyonacea; Plexauridae. The record is from the annotation of a GenBank genome assembly.
CAACUUCAUGUUAUCGUCCUGUAAUUUAACAAUUUGUCAACAAGUUUCUCAACUUAUUGACAAAUUGUUAAAUUACAGGACGAUAACAUGAAGUUGUUGAAACAGC